RNAcentral lists this ribosomal RNA (1208 nucleotides) under metagenome. RNAcentral's name for it is "bacterial LSU rRNA". It matches the Rfam family "Bacterial large subunit ribosomal RNA", at positions 1634 to 2836 of the family's 2925-position model. The record is from RNAcentral.
AUAUACGACCGUACCGCAAACCGACACUGGUGCGCGAGAUGAGUAUUCUAAGGCGCUUGAGAGAACUCAGGAGAAGGAACUCGGCAAAUUGACACCGUAACUUCGGAAGAAGGUGUGCCCUAUUAGUGUGUAGUGAACAACGAAGCAUGAAUGGGUUGCAAAAAAUCGGUGGCUGCGACUGUUUAUUAAAAACACAGCACUCUGCAAACACGAAAGUGGACGUAUAGGGUGUGACGCCUGCCCGGUGCUGGAAGAUUAAAUGAUGGGGUGCAAGCUCUUGAUUGAAGUCCCAGUAAACGGCGGCCGUAACAAUAACGGUCCUAAGGUAGCGAAAUUCCUUGUCGGGUAAGUUCCGACCUGCACGAAUGGCGUAACGAUGGCCACACUCUCCUCCUGAGACUCAGCGAAGUUGAAAUGUUUGUGAUGAUGCAAUCUCCCCGCGGAAAGACGGAAAGACCCCAUGAACCUUUACUGUAGCUUUGUAUUGGACUUUGAACAGAUCUGUGUAGGAUAGGUGGGAGGCUUUGAAGCAGGGUCGCUAGAUCUUGUGGAGCCAACGUUGAAAUACCACCCUGGUGUGUUUGAGGUUCUAACCUAGGUCCAUUAUCUGGAUCGGGGACAGUGCAUGGUAGGCAGUUUGACUGGGGCGGUCUCCUCCCAAAGCGUAACGGAGGAGUUCGAAGGUACGCUAGUUACGGUCGGACAUCGUGACGAUAGUGCAAUGGCAUAAGCGUGCUUAACUGCGAGACUGACAAGUCGAGCAGAUGCGAAAGCAGGACAUAGUGAUCCUGUGGUUCUGUAUGGAAGGGCCAUCGCUCAACGGAUAAAAGGUACUCUGGGGAUAACAGGCUGAUACCGCCCAAGAGUUCAUAUCGACGGCGGUGUUUGGCACCUCGAUGUCGGCUCAUCUCAUCCUGGGGCUGUAGCCGGUCCCAAGGGUAUGGCUGUUCGCCAUUUAAAGAGGUACGUGAGCUGGGUUUAAAACGUCGUGAGACAGUUUGGUCCCUAUCUUCCGUGGGCGCUGCAGAUUUGAGGAAGCCUGCUCCUAGUACGAGAGGACCGGAGUGGACACACCUCUGGUGUAUCGGUUGUCACGCCAGUGGCAUUGCCGAGUAGCUAAGUGUGGAAGAGAUAACCGCUGAAAGCAUCUAAGCGGGAAACUCGUUUCAAGAUGAGAUCUGCCGGGGCCUUGAGCCCCCUAAAGAGUC